This 86-nucleotide transfer RNA is filed under the name Phycicoccus sp. Soil748. Its description in RNAcentral is "tRNA-Leu". It matches the Rfam family "tRNA". Rfam says of the family: Transfer RNA (tRNA) molecules are approximately 80 nucleotides in length. Their secondary structure includes four short double-helical elements and three loops (D, anti-codon, and T loops). RNAcentral also lists the same sequence under 1 other name. Lineage: Bacteria; Bacillati; Actinomycetota; Actinomycetes; Micrococcales; Intrasporangiaceae. The record is from RNAcentral.
GCCGAAGUGGUGGAAUGGCAGACACGGAGCACUCAAAAUGCUCUGCUCGCAAGGGCGUGUGGGUUCGAGUCCCAUCUUCGGCACCA